GGUCAGGUGGUGUAAUUGGUGACGCCCUUGCUAUUUAUGCAGAAGCCCUGGGUUCAAUUCACAGUCUGGCCA
Non-coding RNA from Hysterangium stoloniferum, 72 nucleotides. The record is from the annotation of a GenBank genome assembly. NCBI's taxonomy places the organism in Eukaryota, Fungi, Basidiomycota, Agaricomycetes, Hysterangiales, Hysterangiaceae.